Molecule: small nucleolar RNA, 133 nt
Organism: Mastomys coucha (southern multimammate mouse)
Lineage: Eukaryota; Metazoa; Chordata; Mammalia; Rodentia; Muridae
Product: small nucleolar RNA SNORA69
Exons: 1
Source: RefSeq, a predicted model, not a curated record
AAAGCAGGUUACAAGUAUAGCUCUUCACUUUGUGGAAUUAUUGUUACUUACUUCCCUGCUACAGAGCGGCCAUGUUGAUGGCCUCUGAUUUUACCUUUCUGAGAGUAAAAAUAACAGCUUAACAGAGACAGUC